GCUCCUAGUACGAGAGGACCGGAGUGGACGAACCUCUGGUGUUCGGGUUGUGUCGCCAGACGCAUUGCCCGGUAGCUAAGUUCGGGAUCGAUAACCGCUGAAAGCAUCUAAGCGGGAAGCGAGCCCUGAGAUGAGUCUUCCCUGAUACUUUAAGUAUCCUAAAGGGUUGUUCGAGACUAGAACGUUGAUAGGCAGGGUGUGUAAGCGUUGUGAGGCGUUGAGCUAACCUGUACUAAUUGCCCGUGAGGCUUAACCAU
RNAcentral lists this ribosomal RNA (257 nucleotides) under Vibrio alginolyticus. RNAcentral's name for it is "partial 23S ribosomal RNA". It matches the Rfam family "Bacterial large subunit ribosomal RNA", at positions 2674 to 2925 of the family's 2925-position model. The record is from RNAcentral. Lineage: Bacteria; Pseudomonadati; Pseudomonadota; Gammaproteobacteria; Vibrionales; Vibrionaceae.